AAAAAGUGUUCAUGAAUUUUUUUUCAUAUAGCCGAAACUAAAAAGAAAGAAAAGGAAGAAGCAAGCUAGGGUUCGGUUGAUUUUUAAGCUCAAUCAAGAUCAAGAACCAAAGAAAUCAAAUUUGGAUCAGGGAAAAACGAAAGUGGUCGACUAGUCGUCCUGUUCCGUCUUUAUAUCGUCCCAGAUUUUGAAUCCAAGUUACGAAUUUGGGAAUUGUCAGAGGAGCUUAUCACGCUAUCGACUGUAUUCGGUAUUUUAUAAAUUGUGUUUUAGAACUAUGGCAUGUAUAGGCUGGAAAGUGUUGUUGAAAUAACGAAUUUAGUUAUGUAUUUAAAGCCAUGAGAAAAUGGCUGGCUUAUUAUGCCUAAGUUUGGUUGUACAUAUUCUUAAUUAAAAUGUUUGAUGAGUUUAUUUAUUGGUAAUUUAAUGAUGGAAGAUUUAGAUGUGUAUAUGAAUUUAGGUAAUAAGAUUCGGUUAUGAAACCAAAUAGCAUAAUAUGUAUUUGGUACAAAGUAUAAAUUUUGCAUGCGUGAUU
This is a long non-coding RNA of Gossypium arboreum, 535 nucleotides long. RefSeq lists it as uncharacterized. NCBI's taxonomy places the organism in Eukaryota, Viridiplantae, Streptophyta, Magnoliopsida, Malvales, Malvaceae. The record is from RefSeq and is a predicted model, not a curated record. The transcript is spliced from 3 exons.